Molecule: long non-coding RNA, 552 nt
Organism: Sander lucioperca (pikeperch)
Lineage: Eukaryota; Metazoa; Chordata; Actinopteri; Perciformes; Percidae
Exons: 3
Source: RefSeq, a predicted model, not a curated record
CUCGGGAGGUUAAUUCAGUUACACUCCAUCCCUUUCUCUCUUGUUUGUUUGGAGUACCUGUUCGGGUGGGUCCUGUCAGUGUCAGCAGCUGAAACUAGGGGUACAGAACGUGAAAGGGUUUCUCCAGUUGAAUCUGCUCCUCCUCCUCUUUAAUGUUGACCACAUCCUGGUAUGGACCAUGUGCCUGGGAGCGUUCAAUCUGAUCAUAUGUGGAGCAACAAUCGUCCAGAUUUAGCCCCUGGGGUAUGAGUUCAUUUAGUCUCUUUGACUGUGAGGGGGAAGCAGACGUUGGUAAAGCUGUGAAAUGGUGCAACUUCUCAUGGAGGAAAGGCAAGAAACAUAAAAAAUAUCCAUUUGAGAAACGUAUUGCUGUGGAGUCAAAGCACAGCUGUCUUACAGAUUGCAAUAACUUCUAUUGUGUUGACAUGAAUGAUAUGCCAUUUUAAGACAUUUUUGUAAAUUGCUGCAACAUCAAUGCUAUGAGUCAGGGGGCGUUGACAGAUCAAUGUAUGGUAAUUUACAGUCAGUCAUAAUAAAGUGACUUCUGACCUG